AGAGUUUGAUCAUGGCUCAGAAUGAACGCUGGCGGCGUGCUUAACACAUGCAAGUCGCACGAGAAAGCCUUGGCUUGCCAGGGCGAGUAAAGUGGCGCACGGGUGAGUAACGCGUGGGUAAUCUACCCCCGAAUUUGGGAUAACACUUCGAAAGGGGUGCUAAUACCGGAUAACAUCAUAAUUUCCUCGGAGGUUAUGAUCAAAGAUGGCCUCUACAUGUAAGCUAUUGUUUGGGGAUGAGCCCGCGUACCAUUAGCUAGUUGGUAGGGUAAAGGCCUACCAAGGCAACGAUGGUUAGCUGGUCUGAGAGGAUGAUCAGCCACACUGGAACUGACACACGGUCCAGACUCCUACGGGAGGCAGCAGUGAGGAAUUUUGCGCAAUGGGGGAAACCCUGACGCAGCAACGCCGCGUGAGUGAUGAAGGCCUUCGGGUCGUAAAACUCUGUCAAGUGGGAAGAACCUACGUAAGGAUAAUACCCUUAUGUACUGACGGUACCACUGAAGGAAGCACCGGCUAACUCCGUGCCAGCAGCCGCGGUAAUACGGAGGGUGCGAGCGUUAUUCGGAAUUAUUGGGCGUAAAGGGCGCGUAGGCGGUUUUGUAAGUCAGAUGUGAAAGCCCGGGGCUCAACCCCGGAAGUGCAUUUGAUACUGCAAGACUUGAGUAUGGGAGGGGGAAGUGGAAUUCCUGGUGUAGAGGUGAAAUUCGUAGAUAUCAGGAGGAACACCAGUGGCGAAGGCGACUUCCUGGACCAAUACUGACGCUGAUGCGCGAAGGCGUGGGGAGCAAACAGGAUUAGAUACCCUAGUAGUCC
RNAcentral lists this ribosomal RNA (816 nucleotides) under uncultured bacterium. RNAcentral's name for it is "bacterial SSU rRNA". It matches the Rfam family "Bacterial small subunit ribosomal RNA", at positions 8 to 796 of the family's 1533-position model. The record is from RNAcentral.